UUUUUUAAUCUUUCUAGAAGAAUUUACAAAAGAAGGGCUAUGGAAUUUGUCUCCAAAGACAAACUGACAAUGAUUUAAUGGGACUUGAACUGUUCUCUCUGUCUCUUUAUCUCUUGUUUUGUUUUCUAAUUUCUUCUUUAUAAACAAAUGCUACAACCAGGAAAGGUAAUCUGUAUGGAACAGGAGCACACUCUUCACAUUCCUCCAAGGAACUUGGUCUCCCCAUGGCUGUAUCAUAUAUAAAACCAGUAAUGGGUUUGGAGCCAACUAUGUUUAUCUUGGAACUCAUUUUUCCGAGAAUCUGGAUGUUCCAGGGUAUCUAAAGAGGCCAGGGGUCAGAGAUACAAUCUGUGCCCACAGUAUCAUGGGCCUUGGUGGAAUGAGCUUUGUUGAAUCUCCCCCUAAGCUGUCAACAAGAUGUGAAGUAGCAUAGCAAGAGCUUCCAUGGGGCUUUAGCACAGAUGAAGAGAAACAGAAAAGGAUCCUUAAAAAAACUGCUCUCCUGUUUCCCCAUUUCACUUUCCUUUCUGCCUCACUUCCAUUUCCACUUCCACUCACCAAUUAAAAUAAGAAAGGUCGUGGUGUCAUCAUUUGUAUUUGGUUGAACUUCAUUUUUGUUCAUGUGUGAGCUAUUCCAAGUGUGUCUAUUUUUACGUGUAACUUGAAUUUUCCCAGGCUCCACCCACCCAGAAGGACAAAUUGAGCCACUGAUUCCUUGCUCUGACUUGCUGGAAUAGAUCCUCCACACUUCCACUCCAGUCAAAACCUCACCACCACCCCCCAAGUCCUUCAAGAUGUUCCAGAUGCUCUGAAAAAAGUCUGCUCUUGUUCUUUCAUCUGGCCUUCCCAUUGUGGCCUUACCAAUUCCAAAUUCCAAUUCCAAAGCAAUUGGAAAGGGGUGCCAUCCCAACCAACAUGGCUGCUGGCAACCCCUAUGGGAAUGCUACUUCCUUGACUAGGGGACAGUUGGGGCUUCUUUGCCAACUGCGUAUCUUCAAGGCGCAGGCUUCCUGGUGUUUCCAGAGAAAAGAAAUACAAGUUGUCAGUGUUAAGGCCAGAGGCUGGAAAUGAAAAGAGGUGCAGAGCCUUUUCUGUUUGUCAAAGCAGCAAUAAACAACCUCCUAACUUAUCUCCUCA
This 1137-nucleotide long non-coding RNA is filed under the name Vulpes vulpes (red fox). RNAcentral describes it as "lncRNA (ENSVVUG00000001606.1)". The record is from RNAcentral. Lineage: Eukaryota; Metazoa; Chordata; Mammalia; Carnivora; Canidae.